GACGAACGCUGGCGGCGUGCUUAACACAUGCAAGUCGAACGGAAAGGCCCUGCUUUUGUGGGGUGCUCGAGUGGCGAACGGGUGAGUAACACGUGAGUAACCUGCCCUUGACUUUGGGAUAACUUCAGGAAACUGGGGCUAAUACCGGAUAGGAGCUCCUGCUGCAUGGUGGGGGUUGGAAAGUUUCGGCGGUUGGGGAUGGACUCGCGGCUUAUCAGCUUGUUGGUGGGGUAGUGGCUUACCAAGGCUUUGACGGGUAGCCGGCCUGAGAGGGUGACCGGCCACAUUGGGACUGAGAUACGGCCCAGACUCCUACGGGAGGCAGCAGUGGGGAAUAUUGCACGAUGGGCGGAAGCCUGAUGCAGCAUCGCCGCGUGCGGGAUGACGGCCUUCGGGUUGUAAACCGCUUUCGCCUGUGACGAAGCGUGAGUGACGGUAAUGGGUAAAGAAGCACCGGCUAACUACGUG
RNAcentral lists this ribosomal RNA (468 nucleotides) under uncultured bacterium. RNAcentral describes it as "partial 16S ribosomal RNA". It matches the Rfam family "Bacterial small subunit ribosomal RNA", at positions 28 to 507 of the family's 1533-position model. The record is from RNAcentral.